UCUGUAACUCCGCCUGUGGCUCCUCCAGGGGCUACUGCCGGUCACAAGCCCGGGUAAAGGAGGAGGGUUAGG
Non-coding RNA from Schistosoma mansoni, 72 nucleotides. NCBI's taxonomy places the organism in Eukaryota, Metazoa, Platyhelminthes, Trematoda, Strigeidida, Schistosomatidae. The record is from Rfam.